Molecule: long non-coding RNA, 1331 nt
Organism: Carassius auratus (goldfish)
Lineage: Eukaryota; Metazoa; Chordata; Actinopteri; Cypriniformes; Cyprinidae
Exons: 8
Source: RefSeq, a predicted model, not a curated record
GGUCACUGUAAAAAUACAAUACAAUAUGGUUAGCAAUAAUCUCAUAUUUAUAAUUGUGAUCAAACAGACUUUAGGUGUAACUCAUGGAUGUCCGUUUUUAAUCUGUAAUACACCAAUCACUGGUGAUGUUGCACAACAAGCUCUAACUUCAUUGGAGGAGGAAUCUGAGCUUGGUGUCAUUUUAAUUGCAUUGCUUAAAACAUCUGAUGUUAAUUGACUACAAUGCUCUCUGCAAAACCAUAUGCAGCACCAGAAGAUAAUGGCACCUGAGGCUGUCAGGAUUUCCUCAGCCAUCUUCCUACGUAGUGCCUCCAUAUUGGUCACAGAAGUAUUGAUGUCCAACUGGGAUGGAACUUUUGGGAAACUAGAGACAACCUCCUUUGCCAUUUUUGAACAAUAGUUGUAGUGAAAUGAAGGAAAUAAUUAUAUUUAGUGUCUCAACUUUAAUGCUUACCAUUUGAGCAGAAAAUACCUGCAUGACAAGUACUCCACAGCUAUGUGAAUCCUGCUGCCUUGUAAAUACCUUUGGCAGACUCCGCUGACACACAUCAUCUCGGUUUCCAGACAGAAUCACACCAGCAGAAAAAUGAUUCAUGAGCCACUUGUGAGGUUGCAGAGUUUUGAACUCUGAGUGAUGGAGGGUGUACCUAGCCUUUUUUGCUGCUGAUGGUACAACAGCAACCACCACUUCACAAUCGUUUUUGCUCCAAAGGUCCAUUGCUGUGUCUGGAAUCAUCUGGAUGGUAUUGGUGCUGAUCUGUGUAACUUCUGGACUUUGUGAUGGCUGUGGCAGUACUUCAGAAAACCGGCUAAGAUCCCCAAGAAGAACUCCACUCCACAGCGGGAAGAUACUCAUGUAGUUGUUCAUGAGGAAGUCGACGAGCUCUGGACAGAAAAAGAUCCAGGGCAGUUUUGGCUGCAUUCACCACGUCGGUCUCCUCUUCUGAUGUGAAAAGAACAGCCAUAUCUUCAAAUACAGCUGUUGCCUCUUCUAGAUGUGUGCUGUUUAACAACAAGGCAAAGCAAAGGACACUUGAAAUUAGUCCCCAACUGAAGUCCGUCUCCACUUGAUGGACAUGGCAUGAUGUUAUUUGACCAAGAGCCCUUAAUGUUUGCAUCAGCCAGUAUGUCAAGGUUGGAAUUGAGUGCUGAUUUGAUACAAGCUCACUAACUGGUAGUGGCGGCAUGUUUUUGCCCAUUCCUGGCAGUACAAGUGCAUAGUAGAGCACUCUUUUGGGCUGACUGGUAAUGCGGGAGAUAACGCUACCUGUGGCAUCCAGGUGAAGUGUUACUGGUUUUUUUUUUUUAAGAUGCUGGGCCAAAAUUUGUAA